This 1568-nucleotide long non-coding RNA is filed under the name Vigna radiata. RNAcentral's name for it is "long non-coding RNA (VRAD_LNC007365)". The record is from RNAcentral. Lineage: Eukaryota; Viridiplantae; Streptophyta; Magnoliopsida; Fabales; Fabaceae.
CGUUUUCUUUUUUAUUAGAAAUGGGUAACAUUAAUUUUAUAAGGUUCAUAUUCUUUCACCUAACUCACCUAUCUUCAACUCCAGGCCCUUUAGUCUCAGCUAGCAGCAAGUGUGAGAGUGUUACACAACAUGGAAUAUACUUAUUCAGCAGAGGAUGCGGAGGCAGAAACUUACACCAGCAGCAGCAGCAGCACCCCAUCAAGAAACAAUGUUCAGUGAUGAUCAAAUCAAAUAAUUGGAAACCAUGCUUGAGACAGAAUCAAGGCUAGAGCCUAGAAAGAAGUUGCAGCUGGCAAGAGACCGUGGAUUGCAGCCAAGACAGUUUGCUAUUUGGUUUCAGAACAAGAGAGCUAGGUGGAAGUCAAAGCAACUUGAGACAAAUGGCAAAUUAUUAAAACAAGAUGUAUGAGUUUUAAUCCAAGAAAAGUAUUUAAAACAAUUGCAAGAUGCUAUUGUGAAAUAAGAAGGAAAGAACCUUAGAAGCAUGGUCAUGAAAAUAAGGAAAGCUUUUGGCAACAGUGCGCUUCAUCUCCAUCUCCAUUCGCAUGCUCUCAAUCUCCCUUGUUUAAAGGCUGACCCAAAUGACAGAUUCAUUGCAAUCUACUUUCACCUUUGCACAUACAAGUACACAUGUUACCACUCAUAAUAAUACUAAUCUAUGAGGACAAAACAAAACAACCGACAACAACAAUUGAAUAAUACCAUAAUCUUUUUCAUCUCCCAUAAAUCUCUCUCAUUUUUCAUUCAUCCUUUUCAUAAUCAGGCCAAUAGAAACAAUGAUUUGGAAAACCAUAUCCUAACCUAGUACUUGGCAAGCAAUCAUUAUAACAUUAUUAAAUUCCACUUCCAUGUUACACAGCCAAAGCUAGGCAAACAGGAUAGGUUUAUAGUGGGUCAAUAAAACAAGGGAAAACUACGACCAAGUUAAUAUUUGAGCGUUUGGUUUCGUUUCAUCUCCACUUCCCUCUUUCAUCACAGCCAAAAUUGUAGUCACCGGAUUUAGCUAGACAUGGAACAAUGAAAAAUCCAUAUGAACCUGCACGUGUUUUUAUUAGAAAAUUCAAUCACAGGACGCAAGAUCAUCUUCAUGUAGUUAGUUAGAUGUGACAAGCCGACUAACCAAAGAAUUGUAUUCAGAUAGCAGUAUAACAUCAUGAUUGUGAUCUUCCAUCAACGUAUACUGUACAGAGUUAUUCUUUAUCUGAUUUCAAUGUUAACUGAAGAUCUUCAAGCAUAUUUGUUAAGGGAAAAUACAUGGAUAGAGGCAUUGCAAAAAUAACAAUGCCGAAAAGAAGCUGCAGAGAGAAUGAAACUGAAGAUCAAUAUUGAAUCGCAACCUAAGAAAAAGACUAGAAGGAUUAUAUGAUUUCAUAUCAAUACUCAACUAGAACAUUGGUCGGGCAAAAAAGUAUAUGAAGAGGCAAUUUAGUAUUGACUUACAAGGUAUGGUCACAUACCAUGUGGCCAGUUAAAAGGUAUUUGAAAAGACUGGGUGGUAGGUAAGGAAUGCCGGGCCUUACUACUCUGUAGAAUAUACUUUUCUGUUUCUAUACAAUGCAGAACAAAUA